CUAACACAUGCAAGUCGAACGAAGGCUUUGCCCUUAGUGGCGCACGGGUGCGUAACGCGUGGGAAUCUGCCCUUGGGUUCGGAAUAACAGCGAGAAAUUGCUGCUAAUACCGGAUGAUGACGUAAGUCCAAAGAUUUAUCGCCCAAGGAUGAGCCCGCGUAGGAUUAGCUAGUUGGUGGGGUAAAGGCCUACCAAGGCGACGAUCCUUAGCUGGUCUGAGAGGAUGAUCAGCCACACUGGGACUGAGACACGGCCCAGACUCCUACGGGAGGCAGCAGUGGGGAAUAUUGGACAAUGGGCGAAAGCCUGAUCCAGCAAUGCCGCGUGAGUGAUGAAGGCCUUAGGGUUGUAAAGCUCUUUUACCCGGGAAGAUAAUGACUGUACCGGGAGAAUAAGCCCCGGCUAACUCCGUGCCAGCAGCCGCGGUAAU
RNAcentral lists this ribosomal RNA (430 nucleotides) under uncultured bacterium. RNAcentral describes it as "bacterial SSU rRNA". It matches the Rfam family "Bacterial small subunit ribosomal RNA", at positions 48 to 524 of the family's 1533-position model. The record is from RNAcentral.